This 109-nucleotide ribosomal RNA is filed under the name Segatella copri. RNAcentral's name for it is "Prevotella copri partial 16S ribosomal RNA". It matches the Rfam family "Bacterial small subunit ribosomal RNA", at positions 1 to 95 of the family's 1533-position model. Lineage: Bacteria; Pseudomonadati; Bacteroidota; Bacteroidia; Bacteroidales; Prevotellaceae. The record is from RNAcentral.
UUUACAAUGGAGAGUUUGAUCCUGGCUCAGGAUGAACGCUAGCUACAGGCUUAACACAUGCAAGUCGAGGGGAAACGACAUCGAAAGCUUGCUUUUGAUGGGCGUCGAC